This 618-nucleotide ribosomal RNA is filed under the name Hanseniaspora uvarum. RNAcentral's name for it is "eukaryotic LSU rRNA". It matches the Rfam family "Eukaryotic large subunit ribosomal RNA", at positions 36 to 668 of the family's 3401-position model. The record is from RNAcentral. Lineage: Eukaryota; Fungi; Ascomycota; Saccharomycetes; Saccharomycodales; Saccharomycodaceae.
UUGCAUAUCAAAAAGCGGAGGAAAAGAAACCAACUGGGAUUACCUUAGUAACGGCGAGUGAAGCGGUAAAAGCUCAAAUUUGAAAUCUGGUACUUUCAGUGCCCGAGUUGUAAUUUGUAGAAUUUGUCUUUGAUUAGGUCCUUGUCUAUGUUCCUUGGAACAGGACGUCAUAGAGGGUGAGAAUCCCGUUUGGCGAGGAUACCUUUUCUCUGUAAGACUUUUUCGAAGAGUCGAGUUGUUUGGGAAUGCAGCUCAAAGUGGGUGGUAAAUUCCAUCUAAAGCUAAAUAUUGGCGAGAGACCGAUAGCGAACAAGUACAGUGAUGGAAAGAUGAAAAGAACUUUGAAAAGAGAGUGAAAAAGUACGUGAAAUUGUUGAAAGGGAAGGGCAUUUGAUCAGACAUGGUGUUUUUUGCAUGCACUCGCCUCUCGUGGGCUUGGGCCUCUCAAAAAUUUCACUGGGCCAACAUCAAUUCUGGCAGCAGGAUAAAUCAUUAAGAAUGUAGCUACUUCGGUAGUGUUAUAGCUUUUUGGAAUACUGUUAGCCGGGAUUGAGGACUGCGCUUCGGCAAGGAUGUUGGCAUAAUGGUUAAAUGCCGCCCGUCUUGAAACACGGACCA